RNAcentral lists this ribosomal RNA (391 nucleotides) under uncultured bacterium. RNAcentral's name for it is "bacterial SSU rRNA". It matches the Rfam family "Bacterial small subunit ribosomal RNA", at positions 28 to 420 of the family's 1533-position model. The record is from RNAcentral.
GACGAACGCUGGCGGCGUGCUUAACACAUGCAAGUCGAGCGGUAAGGCCCUUUCGGGGGUACACGAGCGGCGAACGGGUGAGUAACACGUGGGUGACCUGCCCUCAGCUCUGGGAUAAGCCUGGGAAACCGGGUCUAAUACCGGAUAUGACUCCAUGACGCAUGUUGUGGGGUGGAAAGCCUUGUGCGACUGAGGAUGGGCCCGCGGCCUAUCAGCUUGUUGGUGGGGUGAUGGCCUACCAAGGCGACGACGGGUAGCCGGCCUGAGAGGGCGACCGGCCACACUGGGACUGAGACACGGCCCAGACUCCUACGGGAGGCAGCAGUGGGGAAUCUUGCGCAAUGGGCGAAAGCCUGACGCAGCGACGCCGCGUGAGGGAUGACGGCCUGGU